UCCGGUUUUCAAACUCUGGCCCAGCAGUUCUCAGAAAUGCCUUUGCCAGAUGUGAUAUUUGGUCAUGUUGAAGGGAUGCUGCUAAACAUCUACAAUGCCCAGGCCAACACCCAGCUCAAAGAAUGAUCCUGCUACAAAAGGUGACUUCAGAAUAGAUUCCACUUGGAGAUGUAUUUUAUUGUCAAUGACUAAUUGCUAAUGACUGUGGUAGACCAAGUGGACACAAGGGUGUACAGAAGACCAACAGCCUACAUCUUUCGGAUGGUGGUGGAGGUGAAGCAGAUGUCUACAAGCGACAGGU
Molecule: long non-coding RNA, 301 nt
Organism: Bubalus bubalis (water buffalo)
Lineage: Eukaryota; Metazoa; Chordata; Mammalia; Artiodactyla; Bovidae
Exons: 3
Source: RefSeq, a predicted model, not a curated record